AUUAUGUAAUUAGAGUACUGAGUGAUUGAAUUAUAUGAGAAGUUAUUAGAAGAUUGAUUGUAGAUGGAAGAUUAUGAUUGUUUUUUAUUGAGAGUUGUGUGUGUUUUGAUAGUGGAAGUCUGUGGUUACAGAAAUUAUAUGAAUUCAGAUUUGUUGGAAUGAAGUCUGCUAUUUCUAGUGUUGGAUGGAAAUUAUGUCUUGUGAGAGUGCUGAGUUGCACAUUAUUGUUAUCAGAUGAUGAAGGAGUGUUGUUUCUGGAAGAAAGCAUUAUAAUAUUUUUUGAUAUUUUAGUGAUUCAGAUUACGAUUAAUUAAGUGAUCCUAACAUGUA
RNAcentral lists this long non-coding RNA (330 nucleotides) under Physcomitrium patens. Its description in RNAcentral is "long non-coding RNA (PPAT_LNC012462)". Lineage: Eukaryota; Viridiplantae; Streptophyta; Bryopsida; Funariales; Funariaceae. The record is from RNAcentral.